AAAAAAACAAACCCUGGGUUUCCGUGUCCAACGUUUGACCGUCCGUCUUAUUUAAAAAAAUUAUGAAAAAAAUUAAAAAGACAAGUCUCACGCAUAAAGUAUUAAUCAUGUUUUAUCAUCUAACAACAAUGAAAAUACUAAUUAUAAAAAAAAUUUCAUAUAAGACGGAUAGUCAAAGUUGGACACGGAAACCCAGGGUUUGUCUUUUU
RNAcentral lists this microRNA precursor (209 nucleotides) under Oryza glumipatula. Its description in RNAcentral is "MIR812 microRNA precursor family". It matches the Rfam family "MIR812 microRNA precursor family". The record is from Rfam by way of RNAcentral. Lineage: Eukaryota; Viridiplantae; Streptophyta; Magnoliopsida; Poales; Poaceae.